Molecule: long non-coding RNA, 597 nt
Organism: Pygocentrus nattereri (red-bellied piranha)
Lineage: Eukaryota; Metazoa; Chordata; Actinopteri; Characiformes; Serrasalmidae
Exons: 3
Source: RefSeq, a predicted model, not a curated record
CAUGCUUGAGGGUGAAAUAACAAAGAAACUUACAUAAUUAGCUGUAGUUUGCGUUUGAACUGCGGCAAAUGAACACGAACUUGGACUUUAACAAGCUCUGUGUUCUCCUGAGAAACCAAGUCAAGGCCUCAUCAGAGGUGGACUGAAGAGAAAGCUGUUAAAGGGUCACUUUUGGGUCCAUGUGUGUCAGAGGUCAUUGAACAGAUCAGAUUAAUCAAUACAGGGGGAGUCUUUCAUCAGUCUUUUCUUCCUACCACGUUGUCUGCUGCACGUGUGCAUGGCGCCAGUUGCCGUGUCUGAAGGCCAUCAAACACCUGCGUGACGCACCUUGUCCAAAAAUCGAGCACUGUUCAAUUUCUUGUGCCAUUUUGCCAUCAUUACAUUAAAUUCAGCAAAUCUAAUUAUCCUAGCCUUUCUCAGCUCAUAGCUUUCAGCAUGGAAACAGCCAGUUCGUGAAGAGAUUCUACACUGAUUGCAAUGUGUUAAGUGAUGCUAAAUGCUUUUCCAUGUGAUUUAGUGUAAAUUUAUAUUAUAUUCAAUUUGAGUGUAAUGUAAAAAUGAACCUGGCAGUUGUCGGUUCUCUCUGCUGGCGUUCUU